RNAcentral lists this ribosomal RNA (253 nucleotides) under uncultured bacterium. RNAcentral's name for it is "partial 16S ribosomal RNA". It matches the Rfam family "Bacterial small subunit ribosomal RNA", at positions 524 to 776 of the family's 1533-position model. The record is from RNAcentral.
UACGUAGGGGGCAAGCGUUGUCCGGAAUCAUUGGGCGUAAAGAGCGUGUAGGCGGUCCGGUAAGUCCGUUGUGAAAGUCAGGGGCUCAACCCUCGGAUGCCGGUGGAUACUGUCGGACUAGAGUACGGAAGAGGCGAGUGGAAUUCCUGGUGUAGCGGUGAAAUGCGCAGAUAUCAGGAAGAACACCAAUGGCGAAGGCAGCUCUCUGGGACGGUACUGACGCUGAGACGCGAAAGCGUGGGGAGCGAACAGG